Molecule: ribosomal RNA, 253 nt
Filed under: uncultured bacterium
Lineage: Bacteria
Description: partial 16S ribosomal RNA
Rfam family: Bacterial small subunit ribosomal RNA
Source: RNAcentral
UACGUAGGGGGCAAGCGUUGUCCGGAAUUAUUGUGCGUAAAGCGCGUGUAGGCGGCCAGAAAAGUCCGCUGUGAAAACUCGAGGCUCAACUUCGAGCUGUCGGUGGAAACUUUCUGGCUAGAGUCCGGAAGAGGAGAAUGGAAUUCCUGGUGUAGCGGUGAAAUGCGCAGAUAUCAGGAAGAACACCCGUGGCGAAGGCGGUUCUCUGGGACGGUACUGACGCUGAGACGCGAAAGCGUGGGGAGCGAACAGG